Molecule: ribosomal RNA, 1491 nt
Filed under: Helicobacter pylori GAM115Ai
Lineage: Bacteria; Pseudomonadati; Campylobacterota; Epsilonproteobacteria; Campylobacterales; Helicobacteraceae
Also listed under: 4 other names
Description: bacterial SSU rRNA
Rfam family: Bacterial small subunit ribosomal RNA
Source: RNAcentral
AGAGUUUGAUCCUGGCUCAGAGUGAACGCUGGCGGCGUGCCUAAUACAUGCAAGUCGAACGAUGAAGCUUCUAGCUUGCUAGAAGUGGAUUAGUGGCGCACGGGUGAGUAACGCAUAGGUCAUGUGCCUCUUAGUUUGGGAUAGCCAUUGGAAACGAUGAUUAAUACCAGAUACUCCCUACGGGGGAAAGAUUUAUCGCUAAGAGAUCAGCCUAUGUCCUAUCAGCUUGUUGGUAAGGUAAUGGCUUACCAAGGCUAUGACGGGUAUCCGGCCUGAGAGGGUGAACGGACACACUGGAACUGAGACACGGUCCAGACUCCUACGGGAGGCAGCAGUAGGGAAUAUUGCUCAAUGGGGGAAACCCUGAAGCAGCAACGCCGCGUGGAGGAUGAAGGUUUUAGGAUUGUAAACUCCUUUUGUUAGAGAAGAUAAUGACGGUAUCUAACGAAUAAGCACCGGCUAACUCCGUGCCAGCAGCCGCGGUAAUACGGAGGGUGCAAGCGUUACUCGGAAUCACUGGGCGUAAAGAGCGCGUAGGCGGGAUAGUCAGUCAGGUGUGAAAUCCUAUGGCUUAACCAUAGAACUGCAUUUGAAACUACUAUUCUAGAGUGUGGGAGAGGUAGGUGGAAUUCUUGGUGUAGGGGUAAAAUCCGUAGAGAUCAAGAGGAAUACUCAUUGCGAAGGCGACCUGCUGGAACAUUACUGACGCUGAUUGCGCGAAAGCGUGGGGAGCAAACAGGAUUAGAUACCCUGGUAGUCCACGCCCUAAACGAUGGAUGCUAGUUGUUGGAGGGCUUAGUCUCUCCAGUAAUGCAGCUAACGCAUUAAGCAUCCCGCCUGGGGAGUACGGUCGCAAGAUUAAAACUCAAAGGAAUAGACGGGGACCCGCACAAGCGGUGGAGCAUGUGGUUUAAUUCGAAGAUACACGAAGAACCUUACCUAGGCUUGACAUUGAGAGAAUCCGCUAGAAAUAGUGGAGUGUCUAGCUUGCUAGACCUUGAAAACAGGUGCUGCACGGCUGUCGUCAGCUCGUGUCGUGAGAUGUUGGGUUAAGUCCCGCAACGAGCGCAACCCCCUUUCUUAGUUGCUAACAGGUCAUGCUGAGAACUCUAAGGAUACUGCCUCCGUAAGGAGGAGGAAGGUGGGGACGACGUCAAGUCAUCAUGGCCCUUACGCCUAGGGCUACACACGUGCUACAAUGGGGUGCACAAAGAGAAGCAAUACUGCGAAGUGGAGCCAAUCUUCAAAACGCCUCUCAGUUCGGAUUGUAGGCUGCAACUCGCCUGCAUGAAGCUGGAAUCGCUAGUAAUCGCAAAUCAGCCAUGUUGCGGUGAAUACGUUCCCGGGUCUUGUACUCACCGCCCGUCACACCAUGGGAGUUGUGUUUGCCUUAAGUCAGGAUGCUAAAUUGGCUACUGCCCACGGCACACACAGCGACUGGGGUGAAGUCGUAACAAGGUAACCGUAGGUGAACCUGCGGUUGGAUCACCU